ACUCCUACGGGAGGCAGCAGUAGGGAAUCUUCCGCAAUGGGCGCAAGCCUGAUGGAGCAACACCGCGUGAGUGAAGAAGGGUUUCGGCUCGUAAAGCUCUGUUGUUAAAGAAGAACACGUAUGAGAGUAACUGUUCAUACGUUGACGGUAUUUAACCAGAAAGUCACGGCUAACUAUGUGCCAGCAGCCGCGGUAAUACGUAGGUGGCAAGCGUUAUCCGGAUUUAUUGGGCGUAAAGAGAGUGCAGGCGGUUUUCUAAGUCUGAUGUGAAAGCCUUCGGCUUAACCGGAGAAGUGCAUCGGAAACUGGAUAACUUGAGUGCAGAAGAGGGUAGUGGAACUCCAUGUGUAGCGGUGGAAUGCGUAGAUAUAUGGAAGAACACCAGUGGCGAAGGCGGCUACCUGGUCUGCAACUGACGCUGAGACUCGAAAGCAUGGGUAGCGAACAGGAUUAGAUACCCUGGUAGGAUAGCG
This 473-nucleotide ribosomal RNA is filed under the name uncultured bacterium. RNAcentral describes it as "bacterial SSU rRNA". It matches the Rfam family "Bacterial small subunit ribosomal RNA", at positions 335 to 801 of the family's 1533-position model. The record is from RNAcentral.